Molecule: ribosomal RNA, 252 nt
Filed under: uncultured bacterium
Lineage: Bacteria
Description: partial 16S ribosomal RNA
Rfam family: Bacterial small subunit ribosomal RNA
Source: RNAcentral
GACGUAGGGCGCGAGCGUUGUCCGGAUUUAUUGGGCGUAAAGAGCUCGUAGGCGGCUUGUCGCGUCGACCGUGAAAACUCGCAGCUCAACUGCGAGCCUGCGGUCGAUACGGGCAGGCUAGAGUUCGGUAGGGGAGACUGGAAUUCCUGGUGUAGCGGUGAAAUGCGCAGAUAUCAGGAGGAACACCGAUGGCGAAGGCAGGUCUCUGGGCCGAUACUGACGCUGAGGAGCGAAAGCGUGGGAGCGAACAGG